CUACGUAGGGUGCGAGCGUUGUCCGGAAUUACUGGGCGUAAAGAGCUCGUAGGUGGUUUGUCGCGUCGUCUGUGAAAUUCCGGGGCUUAACUCCGGGCGUGCAGGCGAUACGGGCAUAACUUGAGUACUGUAGGGGAGACUGGAAUUCCUGGUGUAGGGGUGAAAUGCGCAGAUAUCAGGAGGAAAACCGGGGGCGAAGGGGGGUCUCUGGGCAGUAACUGACGCUGAGGAGCGAAAGCAUGGGUAGCGAACAGGAUUAGAUACCCUGGUAGUCCAUGCCGUAAACGGUGGGCGCUAGGUGUAGGGGUCUUCCACGACUUCUGUGCCGUAGCUAACGCAUUAAGCGCCCCGCCUGGGGAGUACGGCCGCAAGGCUAAAACUUAAAGGAAUUGACGGGG
This 398-nucleotide ribosomal RNA is filed under the name uncultured bacterium. RNAcentral's name for it is "partial 16S ribosomal RNA". It matches the Rfam family "Bacterial small subunit ribosomal RNA", at positions 523 to 918 of the family's 1533-position model. The record is from RNAcentral.